CCAUGUCAUUAACAUCAGACUCCCGAGAACCUCCUGAAAUCCUCCCUGGUUUGAGAGUCCCAGUGGUGGUGGCGGCUCCUCCAUGAAGCGUCCUGACUAACGGGAGAGAAAUCAUUAUCUGCAGCCUCCGUUUGAUGUCUGUGCCCUGAGAAACGACGCAGGGGGAAGUCUCAGUCCUGCCUCCUGAGCGCUUCCAGAUGUCACACAUCCUUCUUAACUGUGAGAAAAACAAGGGGAGAACAUACAAGAGGCAUUUGUCGGAUCGGGGUGCAAAGUUGGGGACACUACUUCCUAUCCUCCAAACUUCUGGUGGCUUUGUUGGACCACACCCAUCUUCACCUGAGACACCUCAUCAUGAACCUGUCAAAAUGGGGAAAAAAGGUUUCAACAGUUUAAUGCGGUGUGGAUGGAAAAUAUCACCUUCAACAUGACGGCCUAGUGAAGAGUGAAGAGGAGAUGAACAAUGAGGCAGAAGAAGAAAAUUGAGGAGAACAAUGAUUAACUGGAGGCUCACACAGAGAGGUCAAAGAGUAGAAGAUUCACUCAGUGUGACUGCUGCAAGCUGAGAGGAAGAACGUCUGCAAACAGCCUUCCAGCAGCCUUCCAAUCCCACCAUCAUGGACCAGUUCACAAGCUCAACUCCGAGAGAAACUUUUGAGCGUCUUUCAGCUUCACUGGGCUGCAGUCCCACCUCUGCAGCAGUGGCUGCAUACCUCGACAAACAUGACACACUGAGGCAUCUCAGGGAGGAAUUCCUGGUGCCCAAAACUGCAGAUUUGCCUCCUACUGAUCUCUCGCUGGUUGACAGCACCAAGGAUUGCAUCUACCUCGUUGGAAACUCGUUGGGGCUUCAGCCCAAAAGGGCCAAGAAGUACCUUGAAGAGGAGCUGGAGAAGUGGGCCAAAACGGGUGUCCAUGGUCACAUGGAGGGCAGUCGACCUUGGGCGUAUGCUGAAAAUAACAUAGAGGAACUCAUGGCUAAUGUUGUUGGAGCUAAAACUGAGGAGGUGGCACUGAUGAAUGGCCUGACAGUUAAUUUGCACCUUCUACUGCUGUCCUUCUACAAACCCACAGCAGCUCGACACAAAAUCCUUCUGGAAGACAAGGCUUUCCCUUCAGACCAUUAUGCUGUAGAGUCUCAGAUCCGCCUGCGAGGAUUCGACCCUGAGAAGAGCAUGCUGCUGCUGUCACCCAGACCGGGAGAAGAGACUCUGAGAACUGAGGACAUCCUGGAGGUGAUCGAGAAGGAGGGGGACUCCAUCGCCGUGGUGAUGUUCAGCGGGGUCCAGUAUUACACCGGCCAGCUGUUCAACAUGGCCGCCAUCACCGAGGCCGGCCAGAGGAAGGGCUGUUAUGUGGGCUUCGAUUGCGCUCACGCUGUAGGAAACGCUGAGCUGAAGCUGCACGACUGGGGAGUCGACUUUGCCUGCUGGUGCACCUACAAGUAUGUGAACUCAGGUGCUGGGGGUCUUGCCGGGGCAUUUAUCCACCAGAAACAUAAAGACACCAUCAAACCUGCGCUGUUGGGAUGGUGGGGCCAUGACCUGAAAACUCGUUUCCAAAUGAAUAAUGUGUUGGAGCUGCAGCCUGGCGUGAGCGGCUUCAGACUCUCCAACCAGCCCGUCCUGCUGGUCUGCACCCUGCAGGCCAGUUUGGAGGUGUUUAACAUGACCAGUAUGCAGGCGCUGCGCAGGAAGUCCCUCCUGCUGACGGGCUACCUGGAGUAUCUGAUCCAGCAUUAUUAUACUGAGGACCCCCAUCAACCUCACAAAGCUCACGUCCGCAUCGUCACGCCCUCUGACCCUCAGCAGAGAGGCUGUCAGCUGUCUCUGUCCUUCUCCGUCCCCAUCAGGAGGAUCUUCCAGGAGCUGGAGAAGAGGGGAGUCGCUUGUGACAUGAGGGAGCCCAGCGUGCUGCGAAUCGCUCCGACGCCACUCUACAACUCCUUCAGUGACGUUCAUCGCUUCAUAGAAACACUGGGAGCAGCUCUCACUGCCAGCAACCAAUGAGAGAAGAGAUCUGUAUGGUUUUAUCAGCUGUAAAUAAAUCCACUGACUGCUGCAAACUUAUAAAGAUUGGAUUUGUUCUGGAUUUGAAAACAACUUUCACAAUCUCUUGCCCCCGUGACCCUUCUCUUCAGUCGAGCGUCACCCAGAGAGCACGCAGCAUGGGGUUUACAAAUGACAUGAUUUUGGGGGGAGGGAAAUCUGAUGAGACCCCCUUUUUCCUCCCUCCUCACCCGGCUACAUUACACACAUGAGUUAGCCAACAGUCCUCCCCUCACCAAUUAACACCUACUUUAUUAUAACGUUGACUUCUCCCUAAUGUUCUUGCAUGUGUUUAUGCACUAUUACCUUGACGGAUGCCUAUUCCACCGUUAGACAUAAUUGGCAUAUCAAUAUGCAAAACCUAAAUGGAUUAACCUUCUUUAAAACUAAUGAGCACUUGGAUGCCCAGCUGGGGAAUGGACCAGAAUUAGCAUUUGUCAUCUUUUUUGGGGUGAUGUGAGAAUAAAUAAUUGAAGAGAGGCUUGGUAUUGUCUUUCCUUGGGCUACUUGAGCGUAAAGUGACUGUACUGUUUAAAAAAAGAAAAAAAGGGGAAUAUGCAGAUUUACUGUCUUAAUGAUGACUCUGGGCUUGCUGCUUUCACACAUAGUGUCUGAGGAAAAGCAUACAAAGUGGGAUCCGUCUCCGCUGAGGAAAACAGACAGUUUUGAUCAAAGAGGAGCAAGUAAGAGGUAAAUCUGCAAGAGUUUGAUCAGAAAAAACAAACGGUGAUAUGGGCUGAAAGGGUAUGGGAUGUCCAAAAAAUGUCAAAAAAGGUCAUAUUUUAAAAUGUCUAUUACUCUCUGUUGAUACAUGUGGUAGCAUAGUUUGUCCAAAAAUAGCCAAAAAAACACCAUAUUAUGGGAUGUCCAAAAUAACCCCCUCAAAAAAUGAAAGACCACUUUAAGAGUACUGGGGCAUUUAAAAUCUUUAUGACUUUUUCCCAAUUUUUUUUGACAUGCUAUAGUAUGACUUUUUGUUUCACAAAAUAUGGUGUUUUUCUGUCAUUUCUGGAAAAGCCACCCAACUAAAUGUAUCAACAGACCAUAAUAAGACUAUUUUGAGAGUAUGGCGACAUGCUAUAGUAUGACUUUUUUUUUGAGGGGGUCAUUUUUGGACAUCCCAAAAUAUUGUGUUUUUCUGUCAUUUCUGGCCAUAUUAUGCUCUAAUGUGUAUCAAUAUUUGACGCUGUUUGAGCAGUUUUAGGCAUUUUAAGAUUUCACCAAUUUUGACCAAAAUCGACAUGCUACAGUAUGACUUUUUUUUGAGGUCAUUUUGGAAAUCCCAAAAUAUUGUGUUUUUCUGUAAUUUCUGGCCAUUUUGUGCUCUAAUAUGUAUCAACAGACUAUAAUUGACCCAUUUUAAGCAGUUUAAGGUAUUUUAAGAUUUCACCAAUUUGAACAAAAUCGGCAUGCUAUGACUAUUUUUCAAAUUUUGAAAAACUCAAAAUAAAAAUACUUUUUUGAGGGGGUCAUUUUUGGACAUCCCAAAAUGUUUUCCUGUCGAUUUUUUGUCAAAAAUGGUCAAAUUUUAAAAUGGGUCUAUUAUACUUUGUUGAUGCAGCCACAAUGCUUGCGGUCCAGUCAGUCUGUUGAAUGGCUUGCUUGUUUAGGGUUAUAAACAUCUCCGUCUAGCUUCAAAGGGAGUCUUUCACAAAGUAAUCGAUAAGAAUGAAGGACGUUUUUAUUUAUUUAUUUUUUUUACUAUUUCUGUUCUGACAUCCAACACAGGCGCACAGACAUCGUUACCCCUCUUCUGUUUCCCUCUAUUUCCUUAUUGUUUUCAUAGAUCAGUUAAUAGUAGUUGUUUCCCUCAGAGUUUCUGCUGACUUAAAGUAAUAUUAACACAAAGUAGCAGUAAAUCUUGAUGUUCAG
This is an RNA transcript of Centropristis striata (black sea bass), 3920 nucleotides long. It is a transcript of the gene named kynureninase, with no coding region annotated. Lineage: Eukaryota; Metazoa; Chordata; Actinopteri; Perciformes; Serranidae. The record is from RefSeq and is a predicted model, not a curated record. The transcript has 18 exons.